GACGAACGCUGGCGGCGUGCUUAACACAUGCAAGUCGAACGGAAAGGCCCUGCUUUUGUGGGGUGCUCGAGUGGCGAACGGGUGAGUAACACGUGAGUAACCUGCCCUUGACUUUGGGAUAACUUCAGGAAACUGGGGCUAAUACCGGAUAGGAGCUCCUGCUGCAUGGUGGGGGUUGGAAAGUUUCGGCGGUUGGGGAUGGACUCGCGGCUUAUCAGCUUGUUGGUGGGGUAGUGGCUUACCAAGGCUUUGACGGGUAGCCGGCCUGAGAGGGUGACCGGCCACAUUGGGACUGAGAUACGGCCCAGACUCCUACGGGAGGCAGCAGUGGGGAAUAUUGCACAAUGGGCGGAAGCCUGAUGCAGCAACGCCGCGUUCGGGAUGACGGCCUUCGGGGUGUAAACCGCUUUCGCCUGUGACGAAGCGUGAGUGACGGUAAUGGGUAAAGAAGCACCGGCUAACUACGUG
Molecule: ribosomal RNA, 468 nt
Filed under: uncultured bacterium
Lineage: Bacteria
Description: partial 16S ribosomal RNA
Rfam family: Bacterial small subunit ribosomal RNA
Source: RNAcentral